GGCCCUGUCGUCUAGUGGUUAGGACACAGCCCUUUCAAGGCUGCGACACGGGUUCAAAUCCCGUCAGGGUCA
Molecule: transfer RNA, 72 nt
Filed under: Planctomycetota bacterium
Lineage: Bacteria; Pseudomonadati; Planctomycetota
Description: Planctomycetes bacterium tRNA-Glu
Rfam family: tRNA
About the family: Transfer RNA (tRNA) molecules are approximately 80 nucleotides in length. Their secondary structure includes four short double-helical elements and three loops (D, anti-codon, and T loops).
Source: RNAcentral